GUGUGUGCUUGUGUAUCUGCGUCUGCGUCUGUGUGCUUGUGUAUCUGUGUGUCUGUGUGCUUGUGUGUCUGUGUCUGUGUCUGUGAGUGUGUGUGCUUGUGUGUCUGUGUCUGCGUCUGUGUGCGUCUGCGUCUGUGUGUCUGUGUGCUUGUGUGUCUGUGUCUGUGUCUGUGUGUCUGUGUCGGGAUACAGGAAGCGUCCAGCGAGUCGCUGCUGACUGCACGUGUUCCGCAAAGCCCAGAGCGUGCCAGUCUCGGACGAUAACUGGACCGUAUUGCGUCAUCGGGAUCGUGCUUUCGCCGCCUUACCGACGACGAGCUUCGCUUGCAAUGAAGUACGCACCAUCGAAGCAUCCUUGAGGCAGCAUGCGCUGGAUGCGCGCUACCAUCAGGGUAGCAUCCAUCGCUGCCCUCUCUUUCACCGUCUCACUCUACAUCAGAAGACGUUCGACGCGCCUCAGACCCGCCUUGAUAUCGGGAUCGGGUGCUCGGUGCGUCACGCGCUGCUCAAGGUGCCACGGGGCAUCUGGCAGGUGCUUGCGAUACCACCAGGGCUGGUGGUGUGAAACCGGAGCCCGCCCGGAGCAAAUGCACCCGCGUCGGAUGAUCGGAUGCAGAUGCGUGGUGUCCGCUGGAGAGUAUUUUCGGUUCUUCCGGUCGCUUUACCUGGGAUGAACAUUCGGAUACGCGUCUGUGCUGCUCGUUCGAUCGAGUCCGUUUACCACUUGCUUGCUCCGUGUCUAGAAAUGCUGCGCUAUGUAGUUGGCCAAGUCCACAACCCGUUGACUGUAGCCAUACUCGUUGUCGUACCAGGCUACCACUUUGACGAGCGUAUCACCCAUCACCGUCGUCAGCGCUGCAUCCACAAUGCUUGAGUUGACGUUCAUCCGAUAAUCCGAUGAGACGAGCGGCUCAUCGCUCACCGCCAGGAUACCCUUCAUUGGCCCUUCCGCUGCUCGUACGAAAGCUGCAUUCACUUCCUCCUUGAACGUUGGUUUCUUCACCGUGCAGACAAAGUCGACGAUAGAAACGUUCGGGGUCGGCACUCGCAGGGCAAUGCCGGUGAGCUUGCCCUUCACUGGUGGAUACACCAGCGCAACCGCCUGCGCGGCACCCGUCGAGGUCGGCACGAUGUUCAACGCGGCCGCACGGGCGCGACGCAGGUCGCGAUGCGAUGCAUCCAGCAGACGCUGGUCCCCGGUAUACGAAUGCGUCGUGGUCAUCAUGCCGGAAACGAUGCCGAAUUCCUCGUCGAGCACCUUCACGAACGGUGCCAUGCCGUUGGUGGUGCACGACGCGUUGCUCACCACAUGGUCGGUGGCGUGGUUAUACUGGGUGUUGUUCAGACCCAUGACAAAGGUCGGGACGCCUUCGCCUUUCGCUGGCGCUGUGAUGACCACCUUUUUGGCACCCGCUUCGAUGUGCUUGCCUGCCCCGUCCCUUGAGAUAAAGACACCCGUUGCCUCGAUGACGAUGUCGACGUUGAGGUCCCUCCAAGGCAGCUGGGUCGGAUCGCGGUUGCUGACAACGGUAACCGGCUUCCCGUCAAUGAGCAUGGUACUCUCCCCGCUAACCUUCACGUCAAACGGUGCAAUUCCCAGAAUAGAGUCGUACUUCAGCAGAUGAGCGGCAGUUUUGAUGCCAGCCGUAUCGUUGAUCCCCACCAGCUCCAGGUUCGCGUUCGGGGUCGCUUGCAGGCAGCGCACAAAGUUGCGUCCGAUGCGACCGAACCCGGAAACCGCUACCCGCACCUUCAUCACAAGAUUCGAGUGCGCAGCACGUUGCCGGCUCCGCGUCAGCGGCACACCUAAGCUUCGCGUACGUGCAGUGAAGGCACCAGGCUGGUCACCAGCCUGCAGCCGGGGUCCGACGGCCUCGCGGCUCGUAGCGCGCACCGCCGUGCCGCGAAAACCACCAACUGGAGCUACGAAAGCAGCACACGUAAACACCA
Molecule: RNA transcript, 1950 nt
Organism: Cyanidioschyzon merolae strain 10D
Lineage: Eukaryota; Rhodophyta; Bangiophyceae; Cyanidiales; Cyanidiaceae
Exons: 1
Source: RefSeq, a predicted model, not a curated record